RNAcentral lists this ribosomal RNA (497 nucleotides) under uncultured bacterium. RNAcentral describes it as "partial 16S ribosomal RNA". It matches the Rfam family "Bacterial small subunit ribosomal RNA", at positions 28 to 507 of the family's 1533-position model. The record is from RNAcentral.
GAUGAACGCUGGCGGCGUGCCUAAUACAUGCAAGUCGAGCGAACAGACGAGAAGCUUGCUCCUCUGAUGUUAGCGGCGGACGGGUGAGUAACACGUGGAUAACCUACCUAUAAGACUGGGAUAACUUCGGGAAACCGGAGCUAAUACCGGAUAAUAUUUUGAACCGCAUGGUUCAAAAGUGAAAGACGGUCUUGCUGUCACUUAUAGAUGGAUCCGCGCUGCAUUAGCUAGUUGGUAAGGUAACGGCUUACCAAGGCAACGAUGCAUAGCCGACCUGAGAGGGUGAUCGGCCACACUGGAACUGAGACACGGUCCAGACUCCUACGGGAGGCAGCAGUAGGGAAUCUUCCGCAAUGGGCGAAAGCCUGACGGAGCAACGCCGCGUGAGUGAUGAAGGUCUUCGGAUCGUAAAACUCUGUUAUUAGGGAAGAACAAAUGUGUAAGUAACUAUGCACAUCUUGACGGUACCUAAUCAGAAAGCCACGGCUAACUACGUG